Molecule: long non-coding RNA, 899 nt
Filed under: Gossypium barbadense (sea-island cotton)
Lineage: Eukaryota; Viridiplantae; Streptophyta; Magnoliopsida; Malvales; Malvaceae
Description: long non-coding RNA (GBAR_LNC015232)
Source: RNAcentral
UUUUUUUCCCCUUCCCUUUUUUUUUCUUUGAUAUUUUCCAUCAAGCUUUGGGAAGAUGGUUUUGCUCUCUUGACAUCAAGAAUGGAAGGUUUGUUCUUUUAUUUUUGAAAAAUUAGAAUUAAAUUGUAUAUUUUUACGAUAAUAAAAAUGUAAAAAUCCGAAAUUUAAUACGAAAUUUAAAGGAUUAUAUUUUUUAACAUGUUUAAAAAUCUGAAUUUUUUGUUUAUUUCUGGUAGAAAAUAAUUAGAUUAGAGAAUCAUUAAUGUUAUUUAUGGAAAUUUAAGAUUGACUAUUCUUUAUUAAAAUAUACAACUACUUGUUGCAAUUCAAAUAUGCAAAAACCGAUUUAGGAUUUUGUUUUCCUCUUUGUUUCUUGAUGAUGAUGAUUGUACUGAUCCCACAUAUGCACCAAUUCUGGUAUAUGUUAGGGCAAGCACAGCAAAUCAAUAAGGAAAUGUUGGUAGAGGAAAGCCUUGGACCGGAAUUACCAACCUCAAGAUGUUUGGUCAACAAUAUUUUAAUCAAGCAUUAACUUGGUGGUAAGUGUUAGAGACAAGUUUCACCAGUGUUUUGAAAUUUUCAUUAGAGCUACCAUUGGGUUUAACAGCCUUGCAAGCCAGCUCUUUUUGAACUCUAAUUUUCUCUCUCAUUUUCUUCCCUUCUUGGCUGCACAAUAUCAACUUCAAUGCUUUCUUUGCUCCUUCUUUUGUCAAUGUUCCACCUUCUAACCCCAACCCAAAUCCCCAUACAACCUCCACUGUACGAGUGUUCAAUUGUUGGUCUCCAAAAAAUGGCCUGCAGAUCAUUGGCACACAUCCAUUAAUACUUUCCAGGACUGAAUUCCAUCCGACAUGACUUACAAAAGCCCCAACUGAUGGAUGUUCCAAUAUUUUCUGCUG